GCAUUUUACUAACCUCUGUGAUACGAGUAUCAAAACUUCUUCAGUGAGUGUUAUGUAAUGAUCGAUGAUAAAGUCCUCGUCAUUCCUGUGCGGGCGCAACACACGCUACUUGAAGAGCAACUUAAGUUGCGAGGAAGCAAGUGGUUGUGAUAAGCGAGAGAUUUGUAAAAGUGCUUAGCCUUCUUUUUAAAAGAAAAGUCCUGCCUGGGCUACAAGGAAGUGCUGAUAGGGGAAAAAACACGCUGCAGCUGACAUGUGGCACAAUGUUUCCUGCGGCAUGCUCGAACCACUGGUGUCCCUGCACUCCUAAAGCACGGAUCUUCUGUCAAAACAUAACCGCCAAACAAUAAUCAAUUUUCAGAACACAGAAAGUGCGAUACUUACAUCAGUAAUUACGCUCUUAAAAUUUCCCGCUACUAUCAUACAAAGGUACGAAAUGGACUACUUUGAUAUACAAUAUAUACCAACAUUAAAAAGUAGGCUAGAAGCAUCGGUUAGUCUGAACUUCUCUAAAUGCCAGCGGGGCAUGAAAUUGUGUCUCCUCAGUGAGAUAAAAACAGGUUUCAUUGCAUGGGUCGCUUAGGCAUUGGUGUUGUCGUCAAGUGCGCCACGGCGUUUUCGCUAAGGUUCGUUCCUGGAAAAGAAAAUGGGGGAAGAGAUCUGCAAGCUGCUUUCCACGCGAGAGCCUGCUGCUACGUCUUCCGCGAAAGAGUGCGCACGUUUAACCCAACGAAAGGGUAGCGCACCUGUUCGCCAAGAGCUGAUAUGCGUUCAAACGCUGGGUCGUUUAAAUCUCCCUGCUCGAUGGUUAAGGCUGUUCGAUGGAAAAGAAGUAAGAGCGAGGCCCGUCGUACUAAUAUACCUUCGCCCCACCUGCCUGUCGUAAGAGGACGCUCGUGGUUGUCGCGCACGGGGACCUUAGAAACGGUGGGGAAAUUAAAGAGUAUAAAUUUCCAGCUGCUUAUACGAACACCAAUCGAACAAAUCGACAAGAAAAAAAAAGUGCGGCUUGCGAUUAGGUGAGCGGAUUUUGCGUGUGUUGCUUUCUCGCUUCUGCGAGCAUGUACGGUCGCCUGAAAGAGCUCGCUAGUAUGAGGCUUGUGGCAGUGGCGUUUUUCGUGACGACUGUCACCUACGAUGCAAAUACACUUUCUGUUCCUCAGAGGAGAACAGCCGGAAAGAAAAUUCUAGGCCCCGGAGAAUGCGCUCCAGGUGAAGAGUACACCUGUGUCAGUGGGGACUGCGGAGAGAGAACCUGCGCAGAUGCUGCAGACAACAACAAGAUCUGCGCAAGGAACUGCAUCAUGGGAUGCUUUUGUGCCCCGGGCCUCUUCCGUCGUCCCACGGACCGCAGAUGCGUCCCGAAGGAGCAGUGCAACGAUACCAAGGCGCCAGUCACAGCGGCCUCUUCCUUACAAUAAAUCGGGGACAAUGCCGCUGACGCUUCCUCGUGUACCCACGAUUGGCUUCACACGGCUUUCUUUAUAAUAUUAUGGCUUCCACCGACAAA
Molecule: long non-coding RNA, 1510 nt
Organism: Dermacentor albipictus
Lineage: Eukaryota; Metazoa; Arthropoda; Arachnida; Ixodida; Ixodidae
Source: RefSeq, a predicted model, not a curated record